This is a long non-coding RNA of Rosa chinensis, 1050 nucleotides long. RefSeq lists it as uncharacterized. Lineage: Eukaryota; Viridiplantae; Streptophyta; Magnoliopsida; Rosales; Rosaceae. The record is from RefSeq and is a predicted model, not a curated record. The transcript has 3 exons.
CCGCCGCCGUACCGCCGUCGCCGGAAUCCCAAUCCUCACCAAAAUUUCCAGAUUUUCUUCUCUUCAUCCCCUCUUUCCAUUUCUCCAACCAAAAUCAAGAAAUUUGGCCAUCCAACCCUCCAAAAACCUUAGAACCCGAAGCUAAAUUGGGGCUUUUUGUGAUUUCUUCUUUCCAAGUUCAAAUCAAGAGGCUAGGCUAUGGGUUUGGCAAGGAUUUGUGGUGAAGAAGGCCAAUGAGGAGGAUUAGGCCAUGAGUUUUGAAGAAGAAAGGGUAAGGAAUGGGUUUUGGACAAACCCUAGAAUUUUUGGAAUUUAUUUGGUUGAUUUUGAUUUUGUUGAGAUAUUGUUGUUGUUGGAAAAAUUGUGAAAAUUAGAUAUUUGAAGAGAGUUUAAUUAGUAGGAUUUUAUUGGUCUAAUUUUCAAAGGAUUGGAAAUUGGUGUUGAAAAUUUUGGUGAUUAUUGUUGUGUAGUUUUGGCCAAAAGAAAAAGAAAAGGAAGAAGAAAAGAAAUGUGUUUGUUUAUGGAAGAAAAAGAAAAUGAAGAAAAUGGUAAAAGUUUGAUUAAAUGAGUUUUACCUUGGUAAAUUGGUAAAAAAGUGAAGAAGGUGAAAGUAAAGGUAAAUUCGGUAAAAAGGAGGUAAAAGGUAAAAGUGUAAGUGUGGAGGUGAAAUUCAUGGUAAAAGUGAAAAGGUGAAAAAGGAGAAGUAAAUUGGUAAAAGUGAAAGUAAAACUUUAUUUAUAAUUAUUUACUUAUUUAUUUUUAAUAAAUAAGAGAUAAUGGUAAAUAAAGGAAUUAUUUGGUCAAAAGUCAAAAGUCAACUCCGAGAGUUGACCAAGGUUGACCGACCUCGUAAAACGUGAGGAUCGACUCGACUUUGGUCGCUCGGAUUGGCGAAAGUUUAGCGGAGUGAUAAGGACGUUUUCCUUUUUUAGAAAGAAGUUAGUUUCCCAAAUUGUUAAAGGUUGAAAGAAAUAAUUAAUGGCCUCAUUGAAAUAAAAAGGAUUUAGUGUGCGCGAUUACUUAAAGUUGAUCAUGAUGUUUACCUAGAUA